Molecule: non-coding RNA, 401 nt
Filed under: Guyparkeria sp. XI15
Lineage: Bacteria; Pseudomonadati; Pseudomonadota; Gammaproteobacteria; Chromatiales; Thioalkalibacteraceae
Description: Halothiobacillus sp. XI15 cspA thermoregulator
Rfam family: cspA thermoregulator
Source: Rfam by way of RNAcentral
GCAGGCCAGAACCCCCGCCCGGAUCUACAAGUCAAAUAUCCCAUUUGUCUUCCCCGCAUGGAACUGCGGUUCUCUGACGCUUUUGCAGUCCUUCAGCAGUACCCCUCGUUUUUCAAUCAGCACAUGCAAUAGCAUCAGAGGUAUCCAUCAUGGCUACAGGCACCGUUAAGUGGUUCAGUGACGAAAAAGGCUUUGGCUUCAUCGCCCCGUCCGACGGCUCCAAGGACGUAUUCGUUCACCACAGCGCCAUCCAGGGCAGUGGCUUCAAGUCGCUCGCCGAAGGUCAGACCGUGACCUUCGACAUCGAGCAAGGCCAGAAAGGCCCGGCAGCGGCGAACGUGUCCGUCUAAGACACCGCCCUCCCGCUCGAAAAAAAUCCCGCCUCGCGCGGGAUUUUUUUA